Molecule: long non-coding RNA, 1339 nt
Organism: Carassius gibelio (silver crucian carp)
Lineage: Eukaryota; Metazoa; Chordata; Actinopteri; Cypriniformes; Cyprinidae
Exons: 4
Source: RefSeq, a predicted model, not a curated record
GCAGGGGUUCAGAUAAAAAAUCGGCAGCUGGCAGCAGGAAGUGGCUGCCAUUGACAGCCGGAAGGCAGUAACUGGCAGCCGGAUGGUAGGCGGGACCUGCCGAUCGGUGGGAGCCAAUCAGUAUCGACCAACGUGGGCGCAACCAAUCAGAUAUAACUGCACCCAAACGCUUCAGUAAUGGUUGCGAUUGAUCAAACGUUGCCAGAUGCUGUCCUGUUGGAAAUUCUUCUUUACGUGAUCCUGGAGGAGGGGUGAUGCUACAUUACUAAGUCCGUCUUUGGUUUGUUCCAAAUUCAGAAGUCUGCUGUACUGUAUACAGACUCCUUUCGAAAGAGGGCACAAUCCAGCUGGCUUGACUGAGUGGAACAAAAUGGAGAACAAGUCUAAGCCAUGUCAGGAAUUCAACAAAAUGUACACCCUGCAGACACUGCGACGAGGUUUACAUCAACUGCUUACCAGGUCACUGCAGUCACGCGGAUCGAGUACGUAUCCAGACCAGAUGGUGGAUCGCACCUAGAAAGGACCUCUACAGCCCUGAAAGACAGCGGAGACCAGGACAACUAGAGCCCCAGAUACAGAUCCCCUGUAAAGACCUUGUUUUUACUCCAUUUUGUCACCGGUGGAGUUUUGGUUCCUUGUCGCCUCUGGCUUGCUUUGUUGUGGUCACUUCAUUUACAGCGAUCUCAUUGACAUGAUUGCAAAUGAUUCCACAGAUACUAUUUAAACUGAACCGAGCUGAAGGAUGACUUCACUGAAUUCAAUGAUAAACUGCCUUUUAAAUUGACUACAAACUGAGUUUACUAAUGUCCUUCUGCAUUAUUGACUGACACACUAUUUUCCUAUUUAAUACUGUAAAGUUGCUUUGAUUUGAUCUGUAUUAUUAAAAGCACUAUAUAAAUAAACAAUGCUUGACUUGACCAUGUUGCAAGAGGAAAAUUAGGAGAGAUGCACAUCCACCCUGGGUUGUACAGUGAUUGGUGCAAGAUGCUGGAGAAGUAACUCCAUCAGAACUCCUCAGUUCUGAUCUAAGAGUCUUGAAAAUCCCUCCGGAUUGUUGUUAGUGAUUCUGAUUGAUAUUUUAGUCUGCUUGCUUACUGGAUAUAUUUUAUACUGUUUACAUUGUAAAGCACUGACUUUGACAACUUACUAUCCCAGUUACAAAUUUAAAAGCUACUUUAUACUAGAUAUAUAUAUAUAUAUAUAUAUAUAUAUAUAUAGUUGUUUCUUGAAAUACUACAAAUAUAACCGCGAAUUAUGAUUUUAAAUAAAGGUCUCUGAGACUUCUCUCUUUUCAGUCAUUUGUGUAUAUAGCCUAUAAUAAAUAUACAACAUACACCCA